ACGAACGCUGGCGGCAGGCCUAACACAUGCAAGUCGAGCGCUACCUUCGGGUGGAGCGGCGGACGGGUUAGUAACGCGUGGGAAUAUACCCAGUUCUAAGGAAUAGCCACUGGAAACGGUGAGUAAUACCUUAUGUGCCCUUCGGGGGAAAGAUUUAUCGCCUUUGGAUUAGCCCGCGUUGGAUUAGGUAGUUGGUGGGGUAAUGGCCUACCAAGCCUACGAUCCAUAGCUGGUUUGAGAGGAUGAUCAGCAACACUGGGACUGAGACACGGCCCAGACUCCUACGGGAGCAGCAGUGGGAAUCUUAG
This 308-nucleotide ribosomal RNA is filed under the name uncultured Rhodobacterales bacterium. RNAcentral describes it as "SSU rRNA". It matches the Rfam family "Bacterial small subunit ribosomal RNA", at positions 29 to 367 of the family's 1533-position model. Lineage: Bacteria; Pseudomonadati; Pseudomonadota; Alphaproteobacteria; Rhodobacterales. The record is from RNAcentral.